UACGAAGGGUGCAAGCGUUACUCGGAAUUACUGGGCGUAAAGCGUGCGUAGGCGGUUUGUUAAGUCUGAUGUGAAAGCCCUGGGCUCAACCUGGGAAUGGCAUUGGAUACUGGCGAGCUAGAGUGCGGUAGAGGGUAGUGGAAUUCCCGGUGUAGCAGUGAAAUGCGUAGAGAUCGGGAGGAACAUCUGUGGCGAAGGCGACUACCUGGACCAGCACUGACACUGAGGCACGAAAGCGUGGGGAGCAAACAGG
Molecule: ribosomal RNA, 253 nt
Filed under: uncultured bacterium
Lineage: Bacteria
Description: partial 16S ribosomal RNA
Rfam family: Bacterial small subunit ribosomal RNA
Source: RNAcentral